Molecule: RNA transcript, 894 nt
Organism: Aedes aegypti (yellow fever mosquito)
Lineage: Eukaryota; Metazoa; Arthropoda; Insecta; Diptera; Culicidae
Exons: 5
Source: RefSeq, a predicted model, not a curated record
UUGGUGCUCUGGUGUUCGCCACUAGAUAUAUCCCACUACGUAGACAUGAAGCUCGUUCUUGCACAAGAUGAAGAAAUUCUUCCCCCUUUGCGAUUGGUCCGGUUAUUCUUCGAGGUUGGCGCUGUGCUGGUGCGAGGACAGGAUUGUCGUGUGAUUCGUUCAUACCGUCUGGGCGCUAUGUGUGAUUAUUUACGACCUUCAGAAAGCGGUUGGAGAAGGACAUGAGCUGUUUUCUUUCGAACAUCUAGCCGUAGAUGCGGGCGGAUGGGAUCUCUCCAGGUGAUAAUUUCGUGCAGACUUACACGGUCGAUCUAUUUCCCGGGAAGAACAAUUGCCCCCCUGCAGCUCUAUCCUGGCGUGAAUCAUCUCUUCGCUAGACGAAUCCACUCGACAAAAUUGACGGACAUCCGACAGCCAUUGUUUGUCCACACACCCGCAAACGCAAACUUCCGGCAUCCAUUAGUUUGCUGCCCGGCAGGUCCUCCUCACAGCUUGCAAUGCAACACCAAAUCGACAUCUCUGCUCUGUCUCUCCCGGGAUGGCCGGUUUCUUCCGCCUGUUCGACUCGAGGCCCCAGUGUGUUCGUUUGUGGGCCGUUUCCCAAAUAUUUCACUUCUGUGCUACAGGAGUGGACUCGUCCUCUGGCCGUAAUGUUCGCCAGGAGAACCUCCAAACAACACGCUACUCUGCGGACGACCGGUCGCUUGCUGAGAAGAGACUAGUUCCCUCCAGUGUUACGUAAUGUAUGACACUAGUAGUGCAAUCUGUUCGGUCAACUGAAGCCAUAAAAAUGCUGUAGAAAGCACCAAACAAGGACAGCAGAGGUAGCUCAGACUAAUUGAAAUAGCGUUCUAGCCGUGGAAGACAGACUGUCAUAAUAAAAUCAUAAAUCUG